GGGGAUUUAGCUCAGUGGUGCCAGUGUCUGCCUUGCAAGCACAAGGUUCUGAGUUUGAUCCCUGGUACCCCCA
This 73-nucleotide transfer RNA is filed under the name Fukomys damarensis (Damara mole-rat). It matches the Rfam family "tRNA". Rfam says of the family: Transfer RNA (tRNA) molecules are approximately 80 nucleotides in length. Their secondary structure includes four short double-helical elements and three loops (D, anti-codon, and T loops). The record is from Rfam by way of RNAcentral. Lineage: Eukaryota; Metazoa; Chordata; Mammalia; Rodentia; Bathyergidae.